RNAcentral lists this small RNA (126 nucleotides) under Marmota monax (woodchuck). The record is from RNAcentral. Lineage: Eukaryota; Metazoa; Chordata; Mammalia; Rodentia; Sciuridae.
GCCAGGCACGGUGGUGCAUGCCUGUCAUCCUAGCAGCUCAGGAGGCUGAGGCAGGAGGAUCUCAAGUUCAAGGCCAGCCUCAGCAAAAGGGAGGCUGCUAAGCGACUCAGGGAGACCCUGUCUCUA